Molecule: ribosomal RNA, 468 nt
Filed under: uncultured bacterium
Lineage: Bacteria
Description: partial 16S ribosomal RNA
Rfam family: Bacterial small subunit ribosomal RNA
Source: RNAcentral
GACGAACGCUGGCGGCGUGCUUAACACAUGCAAGUCGAAUGGAAAGGCCCUGCUUUUGUGGGGUGCUCGAGUGGCGAACGGGUGAGUAACACGUGAGUAACCUGCCCUUGACUUUGGGAUAACUUCAGGAAACUGGGGCUAAUACCGGAUAGGAGCUCCUGCUGCAUGGUGGGGGUUGGAAAGUUUCGGCGGUUGGGGAUGGACUCGCGGCUUAUCAGCUUGUUGGGGGGGUAGUGGCUUACCAAGGCUUUGACGGGUAGCCGGCCUGGGAGGGUGACCGGCCACAUUGGGACUGAGAUACGGCCCAGACUCCUACGGGAGGCAGCAGUGGGGAAUAUUGCACAAUGGGCGGAAGCCUGAUGCAGCAACGCCGCGUGCGGGAUGACGGCCUUCGGGUUGUAAACCGUUUUCGCCUGUGACGAAGCGUGAGUGACGGUAAUGGGUAAAGAAGCACCGGCUAACUACGUG